UACGUAGGGUGCAAGCGUUGUCCGGAAUUAUUGGGCGUAAAGAGCUCGUAGGCGGUCUGUUGCGUCGGCUGUGAAAACCCGGGGCUCAACUCCGGGCCUGCAGCCGAUACGGGCAGACUAGAGUUCGGCAGGGGAGACUGGAAUUCCUGGUGUAGCGGUGAAAUGCGCAGAUAUCAGGAGGAACACCGGUGGCGAAGGCGGUUCUCUGGGCAUGACCUGACGCUGAGGAGCGAAAGUGUGGGGAGCGAACAGG
This 253-nucleotide ribosomal RNA is filed under the name uncultured bacterium. RNAcentral's name for it is "partial 16S ribosomal RNA". It matches the Rfam family "Bacterial small subunit ribosomal RNA", at positions 524 to 776 of the family's 1533-position model. The record is from RNAcentral.